Molecule: long non-coding RNA, 1076 nt
Organism: Globicephala melas (long-finned pilot whale)
Lineage: Eukaryota; Metazoa; Chordata; Mammalia; Artiodactyla; Delphinidae
Source: RefSeq, a predicted model, not a curated record
CAGGGACGAAAGCAUAGGAUCUGUGUCCCGCAGUUGCUUCAAGGCCAGUGAGAGAGAAUGGCGUAUAAUCCAAUCAGAUACAGGUGACCCAAUGGUAAUCGUGAUUAGAGAUGGGAUGCCAUCCCUUGAGAGACAUCCAGUAUAUAUCCACACCAGUAGACACAGAGCUGGAAGACGGGGUGCAGAUCAGAACUGCUCUGGAUUGGUUGCAGGAUCCAGUCUUUGGCUGCUAUGACCUGCCCUUGUGGGAUUCUGUCUUGCUCUGGGGAGCUUCUCCCAUACCACCAGGCUGUGUUGGUCCAUUCUUGCAAGGAUGCUAAGAGCUAUGGAAACCCUGAGGCAGCAACACUGUCCUGGGAGCAGUCAUCAUCUGCACAGAAUGGCAACCGGGACAGAACUGUUACACUUGCGUACGCCUGCUGGGGACAGCGGUUGGUAGGACCAGUGAGCGGGAGUGAUAAACAGUAAGUAAUAAUUAUGGGGGGAGGUAAAGAAUGUCUACCUUUUAAGGUCCUAUUUGUAACUAUUAAAUCCCAGAGUUGAGACAGAGAAAACAAUUUGUCAAAUUACACGUUCAAUAACAAAAAAUAUGGUGUCUGAACAACCUUGCGUAAAGAAAAUCUGUGUGUCAAGGGGUUUGGAUGGAUGAUGAAACAUCUUAAAUUUUACUCUUGAGGAUUUACCACGUCCCCAGGACCACAGUCCAAAUUAGAGCUUUGAAUUGUUCCGAAAUGUACGCUUGACUCCUUCAGUAAAUUGUACAUGAAGAUCCGGUUUAAGCAUUUGCUAUAUUUAUAGUGCCUUAAAUUGGUAUUGAAUCCCAGAGUGUUUGGACCUCAAAAUAAAGAAAAAAUGACUGUUGAUUUCAAAAAUAGCAUUCCUUUUAAUUAAAAUGUGUACAUGCAUUACCGAAAAUUUAGUAGGUGCAUAUAAGCCGAAAGAAGAAAUCACGCGUAAUUCUAGCAUUUAGAAAUCAAGACCAUUGUACCAUCUCAUUAUAUAUUCUUUCCUCCGCCAUUUAAAAUGGCCGCGUGGUAUAACAUUGCAUGGAUAUACCAUAGUUGAUUUAACCAGCU